AUGCUGCCGGUUUAAUGCUAUCUUUAUUCGUACUCAGCGCGCAUCAGACGUCGCUUUCCGACAGCGGAGCGCUCGAAUCCCAAUUAAACAUAGGCCGCAGCAGAGGAGACGGAUGCCUGCUACGGAGCGCUAACGGAGCAACAGCAUUUUCCUGAACCAUAAAACAUGCUCUAAACGGUCUUCCGACGCGCCAUCGAGCCUGCUUGACUUGUGAGAGGUUAUUCGAAGAUACUGAAAUUAUAUCAUUGAAAUGCUACGUUCCGUAAACUAUAAUUUUUACUUCCAACGAAGUCUAAAUUUCACACAUGCUGCAUCAAUGUGUUCAGUCAAUGUGAGACUCGUGAGUUAUCUACGGCGAUCAACUCAUAACCUUAACCUGAACCAGGGCGCCAGUCACAUUGACAGUGGAAAUAGUCUCACAUUUUUAAUUCACAUGUCGAAGACUAUGUCACCCGUUGCAGUCUACGACCGGUUUACCAUGGUGGGCAACCAUAGUUUUAACCACAGUUAUAGUAAGAAGUACUUUGACGCUACCAUUGAGUCUUUAUCAACAUUACAUUAUUGCCAAAGUUCAAAAUUUGAACAUCGAAAUGAGUGAUAUUGUUAAAAAACUGCAAGCCGAAGCAAAUGUAGCUGUAUCACAUUACAAAUGUCCUAAACAUCAUGCUAGGAUGCUGUAUAAUACAAAGGUACUUACUUUCCUUUUUACUUUC
This 713-nucleotide long non-coding RNA is filed under the name Neodiprion lecontei (redheaded pine sawfly). Its description in RNAcentral is "uncharacterized LOC124292870". The record is from RNAcentral. Lineage: Eukaryota; Metazoa; Arthropoda; Insecta; Hymenoptera; Diprionidae.